Long non-coding RNA from Arachis duranensis, 1157 nucleotides. RefSeq lists it as uncharacterized. The record is from RefSeq and is a predicted model, not a curated record. NCBI's taxonomy places the organism in Eukaryota, Viridiplantae, Streptophyta, Magnoliopsida, Fabales, Fabaceae. The transcript has 5 exons.
AACGCAAGGAGAGAGAGAGAGCGCUGCAGCCACUGGAGAGGAGCCCUCCAGCCCUCGUCACUGUCAGCUCCAUCGCCGUCGUCACCAUUGGAUCUGCGUGAACCCGUCGUCCUCGUUGUCACCAUCGAUGUUUCUCCUCGUCGUUUGUGGGUUGUCACCUCUCCUGCUUCUGCUGUCACGCCGUCGUCUGCCCUUCUGGACUUUGCUGCUUUUGAAUCACCCUGUCACUGGUUCUUUGCUUCCUUGUUGUGGCCCAACCUCUAAUUAGGUUGGCAACUGGUAUCCUGGAAGUAGCUGCUGACUGGGAUGAAGAUUGGGAUAAGCUUGAAGAUAAAGGUUCACCUAAGAGUGAAAUGAGUCAAAAAACCCCAGACCACAGAUGAACAAGAAGUUGACAGUGAAUCCGUUCAUAAUGAGUCAAAUAAACAUGAUGUUUAUUUUAAUUUUUUGGGGGUUCUGAAAAGAUAAUUCGCCCUUUGCUUGAUUCAGUUAUAUGAUAUCCUUGAUUCAGUUAUAUCUCCUUCAAUCAACAAUUUGUUAUAGUGCUAGUAGCUAUGUUUCCUUAGAUUAACAAUUCAGUUAUACUUUUUCUUCUCUAUUUUAUCCAUUAUUCCCUAUGUUUAUCUGUAAGCUUCUUGUGUCAUGAAAAUUGAUUUGAGAUAUUUUCUUUUGUGUGAUAUCUGAUUUGUUCAUAUCUCAUGAAAGAGUCAAGUUUUAUCAAAAACUAUAUUCUAUAAUCUCAUUGUUCAUGCUGUCAUAUAUAACUUUUUUUCCCUUUGUUAGGUCUCAGAGAUAAGAAGUGUGUGCCAUGCAAUCUGAAGGAACUGCAACCGAUGACCAAGGAUGCAGCACACACAUUGAUGCCACAGGUUUCUGAGUGGAAUUUGGUAAAAGAAGAUGGCAUAUUUAAAUUGAAGAGGACAUGGAAAGUAAAGACUUUCACCAAAAGCUUGAAAUUCUUCAAGAUAGUGGCUGACUUUGCUUAAAGUGAAGGUGAAAAACAUUACAAGAUGAGCGAACAAAUUAGAGAAGAAUUUUUUUGGUUUUCAAAGGAUGAGAAGAAUAUGUACUAUAUUAGAGAAUAUUUUUGUUUUCACAUUAUAAUAUUUUGAUGUCUUUUGUAAUUUUUUUAAUAGCUUCUACCUGGUAUUACAUGU